This 375-nucleotide ribosomal RNA is filed under the name uncultured organism. RNAcentral's name for it is "partial 16S ribosomal RNA". It matches the Rfam family "Bacterial small subunit ribosomal RNA", at positions 527 to 896 of the family's 1533-position model. The record is from RNAcentral.
GAGGGGUGCAAGCGUUAUUCGGAAUCAUUGGGGCGUAAAGAGUGUGUAGACGGCGCAUUAAGUCAACUGUUAAAUUCUCCGGCCUAACUGGGAGGGUCUGCGGUAGAAACUGGUGUGCUAGAGGACGGAAGAGAGAAGUGGAAUUCUCGGAGUAGCGGUAAAAUGCGUAGAUCUCGAGAGGAACACCGAUGGCGAAGGCAGCUUCUUGGUCCAUUCCUGACGUUGAGACACGAAAGCGUGGGGAGCAAACAGGAUUAGAUACCCUGGUAGUCCACGCCGUAAACGAUGAUCACUAGACGUCAGCUCUGUUUUGCAGAAUUGGUGUCGCAGCUAACGCGUUAAGUGAUCCGCCUGGGGAGUACGAUCGCAAGAUUA